GAUGGCGUACCGGCGCACGGGUGCGUAACACGUAUCCAAUCUGCCCGUUACUCGGGGAUAGCCUUCUGAAAGGAAGAUUAAUACCCGAUGGCAUGGUAUUUCCGGCAUCGGAGAUACAUUAAAGAUUUAUCGGUAACGGAUGAGGAUGCGUACGAUUAGCUGGUUGGCGGGUAACGGCCCACCAAGGCGACGAUCGUUAGGGGUUCUGAGACGGAAGGUCCCCACACUGGAACUGAGACACGGUCCAGACUCCUACGGGAGGCAGCAGUGAGGAAUAUUGGUCAAUGGUCGAGAGACUGAACCAGCCAAGUAGCGUGAAGGAUGACUGCCCUACGGGUUGUAAACUUCUUUGUUUGGGAAUAAAUGAUACUAACGUGUAGUAUUUGCAUGUACCUUACGAAUAAGCAUCGGCUAAUUCCGUG
Molecule: ribosomal RNA, 422 nt
Filed under: uncultured bacterium
Lineage: Bacteria
Description: bacterial SSU rRNA
Rfam family: Bacterial small subunit ribosomal RNA
Source: RNAcentral